UUCAGUGGGGAGGGUAUUUACCUAUGGAACUCACGCAAGCCUUAAAACCUAGGAAUGAUUGUUGUGUGACUUGCUUGUGCUUGUUAUUUAUCUAACAACAUGACAUCAUAACAACAUAACAUCAUAACAUCAUGGCAUUGUACUAACCAUUUCAAGGAUUUAGGGAUUUAACUCUGCUAAAAAAAAAAAAAAAAAAACAAAAACAAAAGCAAAAACAAAAGAGAAAAGAAAAAAAAAAGCUCUUUUUGUUAGUUUAUGCAAAGUUAAAUCCCGAAAGUCCUUGAAAACAUUUCAUACAUUGCAUUGCAUCGCAUAACAGGUAUUCUAAAGGAUCAGUGUUC
This 341-nucleotide long non-coding RNA is filed under the name Lathyrus oleraceus (garden pea). RNAcentral's name for it is "Pisum sativum (pea) long non-coding RNA (PSAT_LNC000671)". The record is from RNAcentral. Lineage: Eukaryota; Viridiplantae; Streptophyta; Magnoliopsida; Fabales; Fabaceae.